GUAGGGUCCGAGCGUUGUCCGGAAUUAUUGGGCGUAAAGGGCUCGUAGGCGGUUUGUCGCGUCGGGAGUGAAAACACCGGGCUUAACUCGGUGCUUGCUUUCGAUACGGGCAGACUUGAGGUAUGCAGGGGAGAACGGAAUUCCUGGUGUAGCGGUGAAAUGCGCAGAUAUCAGGAGGAACACCGGUGGCGAAGGCGGUUCUCUGGGCAUUACCUGACGCUGAGGAGCGAAAGUGUGGGGAGCGAACAGGAUUAGAUACCCUGGUAGUCCACACCGUAAACGUUGGGCGCUAGGUGUGGGAUCCAUUCCACGGGUUCCGUGCCGUAGCUAACGCAUUAAGCGCCCCGCCUGGGGAGUACGGCCGCAAGGCUAAA
Molecule: ribosomal RNA, 374 nt
Filed under: uncultured bacterium
Lineage: Bacteria
Description: bacterial SSU rRNA
Rfam family: Bacterial small subunit ribosomal RNA
Source: RNAcentral